GAUGAACGCUGGCGGCGUGCCUAAUACAUGCAAGUCGAGCGAACAGACGAGGAGCUUGCUCCUCUGACGUUAGCGUCGGUCGGGUGAGUAAUACUUUGAUAACCUACCUAUAAUACUGGGAUAACUUCGGGAAACCUGAUCUAAUACCGGAUAAUAUAUUGAACCUCAUGGUUCAAUAGUGAAUGUCGGUUUUUCUGUUUCUUAUAUAUGUAUCCUCGCGGCAUUAGAUAGUUGGUAAGGUAACGACUUACAAAGGCAACGAUUAGAAGCCGAACUGAGAGGAUGAUCGGCCACACUGGAACUGAGACACGGACCAGAAACGUAAGGGAGGCAGCAGUAGGGAAUAUUCCGGAAUGGGCGAAAGCAUGACGGAGCAAAGCGGCGUGAGUGAUGAAGGUCUACGGAGCGUAAAACACUGUUAUUAGGGAAGAAAAAAAGUGUAAGUAAAAAUGAACGUAAUGACGGUACCUAAAAAAAAAGCCACGGCUAACUACGUG
Molecule: ribosomal RNA, 497 nt
Filed under: uncultured bacterium
Lineage: Bacteria
Description: partial 16S ribosomal RNA
Rfam family: Bacterial small subunit ribosomal RNA
Source: RNAcentral